RNAcentral lists this ribosomal RNA (497 nucleotides) under uncultured bacterium. RNAcentral describes it as "partial 16S ribosomal RNA". It matches the Rfam family "Bacterial small subunit ribosomal RNA", at positions 28 to 507 of the family's 1533-position model. The record is from RNAcentral.
GAUGAACGCUGGCGGCGUGCCUAAUACAUGCAAGUCGAGCGAACGGACGAGAAUCUUGCUUCUCUGAUGUUAGCGGCGGACGGGUGAGUAACACGUGGAUAACCUACCUAUAAUACUGGGAUAACUUCGGGAAACCGGAGCUAAUACCGGAGAAUAUUUUGAACCGCAUGGUUCAAAAGUGAAAGACGGUCUUGCUGUCACUUAUAGAUGGAUCCGCGCUGCAUUAGCUAGUUGGUAAGUUAACGGCUUACCAAGGGAACGAUGCAUAGCCGACCUGAGAGGGUGAUCGGCCACACUGGAACUGAGACACGGUCCAGACUCCUACGGGAGGCAGCAGUAGGGAAUCUUCCGCAAUGGGCGAAAGCCUGACGGAGCAACGCCGCGUGAGUGAUGAAGGUCUUCGGAUCGUAAAACUCUGUUAUUAGGGAAGAACAUAUGUGUAAGUAACUGUGCACAUCUUGACGGUACCUAAUCAGAAAGCCACGGCUAACUACGUG